GGUUUUCAACAAAGAAGCGAGGGAAUAGAAUCGUGUUCAGGGGAAGCUCUCGUCUGAAGAGGACGGCCAAACAAAAACUGUGCUGUGCUGUUCAAAGAAAAUAAGAUAAUAAAAGAAUGAAUUCAAUUUCGUUGAAGCAAUUGCAUACUGUGAGCUCCCCUUGUCCCAUUCAUACUUCAAGGCAAAAACCAGUUCUACUACGAUGCGUCACCAAUCCAUUCUCCACUCCUCUCCACUCUCAUCUACCGACUCCACGUCAACGUCCCUCCAUCUUCCACUCCUUUCACUUUACAGAUCGGAACCCCAAUCUUCGUCUUCCAUGCGCACCUCUUCACUCUUCCGAUUCGCUUGCACCCGAUCCGUCUCACCCGCCCCAGGCAGUGAAGCGAAAUUCAGUGGCUAUUGUGGACAUUCUGAAGCAGGCAAAUUCAUUCCUUCCUCAUGUAGUCCUUGGCAGCACGCUGCUAGCUCUAAUCUUCCCACCUUCAUUUACCUGGUUUACCACCAGAUACUAUGCACCUGCACUAGGGUUUUUGAUGUUUGCAGUGGGGGUAAAUUCAAGUGAAAAGGACUUCGUUGAAGCUUUUAACAGGCCAGUAGAAAUUGUAGUUGGUUAUGUUGGCCAGUUUGUCAUGAAGCCCCUUCUAGGGUAUCUGUUUUCCCUAAUUUCUGUAACUGUAUUUGGUCUACCAACACCCAUAGGCGCAGGAAUUGCAUUGGUGUCUUGUGUUAGUGGAGCGCAGCUCUCGAAUUAUGCUACUUUCCUCACCGAUCCACAGAUGGCACCAUUAAGCAUAGUUAUGACAUCCCUGUCUACUGCAUCUGCGGUUUUUGUGACGCCCCUGUUAUCGCUUUUGCUCAUUGGAAAGAGACUGCCUGUAGAUGUAAAAGGAAUGGUGUUUAGCAUUACACAGAUUGUGGUGGCUCCUAUUGCUCUUGGCCUGCUUCUAAACCGCUUCCUUCCUCGUAUCUGUAAUGCUAUUCGACCGUUUUUACCUCCACUGUCAGUAUUUGUGACGGCUCUCUGUGUUGGAGCUCCUCUUGCAAUUAACAUUGAGGCUGUUAAAUCCCCAUUUGGAGCUUCUAUCUUGUUGCUUGUUGUUGGUUUUCAUUUAGCUGCAUUUGUAGUUGGUUAUAUCUUAAGUGGAUUUGUCUUCCAUGAUUCUCCUGAUGUAAAGGCAUUGCAGCGAACAAUUUCCUUUGAGACAGGAAUGCAAGGUAGCCUUCUUGCUCUGGCCCUUGCUAAUCGAUUCUUCGAAGAUCAACUAGUCAGUGUGCCUCCUGCAAUUUCUACCGUAAUAAUGUCUUUGAUGGGAUUUUCUCUUGUGAUGAUUUGGGCCAAGAGGAAAGAGUAAGAGGUUGAUAGUAAAGCCGAUGAAAGGUAUGGUUUGGGGUAUGUACUGCACAUUUUUUCAGGAGGCACCAAUAGCAGCCGGAGAAAUGUCAUUCAAAGCAGUUUUAACGUUUAGCUUUGAAAGUUUGAGGGAAAUUUUCAUGUAAGAAGGAAUGGACGAAGGAAACCCUUCACUGGUAGGUAGUUUAUUGCCGACGAACCCUGUGAUAUCCCCGGUCCUGGAGAUUACUUUGCAGUUUUGCAUUGUUUUUUUCUUUUGCAACACAACACACUCACACGCACUACACUACAUUGGUUCUUUUUAUCCACCAGUGGGAUUGUUUUCUUGGUCAAGUCCACCAGUGGGAUUUGAAAACCAAGCCUCCAACCAUACAUUUUUGUUUCGAUUCUUUUCAUUUUCUUUUUGGGUACAUUUUAUUUUGGACUUGCUAUGUUUGUUUUUGGGUACAUUGAUGAACGGGAAAUUGAGACUUCUAAGUUCUAAGAAAAAGAAAAUGAUCCAAAUAAGGGGAAAAAAAAAGUCCCAUUUCAAUACCAUAAAAUAAAAAGGGAGAAAAAAAAAAGUGGGUUCUGGUUCCUAAUUGCGUGAAGCUGUUGCGAUAAUUAUCUGUUGCAAUUUACAUAUGAGAAAGUCUAGGGAGCCAAUAGUCUAAGCGUACAAUGUGUACAAUGGAGGUUUAGGAAGUAUUAGAGAUAUGACCAUUAGUGUUACAUUGUUCUGUCAGGUUACGCUUUUGGGAUGAGUGGUUUCAGAUAUGGUAUUAGUGUUCUGAAUCCGAAAGGUCAAAAGUUCGAUUCUUGGUGAAUUCCAAAAAUAGUUUAAUUUUUUAUUGAGAUGUUUAUUAUCCUUGGUAUCCAGAUGGUUAUCCUUGGUAUCCGGAUGGUUAUUCUAGAUAGUAUGGUGAGUCCAUUGAACAUAUUGUCUUCGGGACAGUUUUUUAUACUUUUGUGUCCACUCUUUUACGAAGGACAAUGAUGGACACGGGAUUUGGAAGAGGGACACGAACUAUUUUUAUGAAUUUUUUUUUUGUCCAUGGUGCUAUUUUUUAUUAUUCCACUAUUACCCCUUCUUAUUUUUCCUAUUUUGCGUUAUUCUCAGA
Arachis stenosperma is the source of this 2454-nucleotide RNA transcript. It is a transcript of the gene named probable sodium/metabolite cotransporter BASS5, chloroplastic, with no coding region annotated. The transcript has 8 exons. The record is from RefSeq and is a predicted model, not a curated record. NCBI's taxonomy places the organism in Eukaryota, Viridiplantae, Streptophyta, Magnoliopsida, Fabales, Fabaceae.